This 24-nucleotide small RNA is filed under the name Arabidopsis thaliana (thale cress). RNAcentral's name for it is "ATSL126530". The record is from RNAcentral. Lineage: Eukaryota; Viridiplantae; Streptophyta; Magnoliopsida; Brassicales; Brassicaceae.
CCCUCUCUCAAGACAUCGAUCAUG